RNAcentral lists this ribosomal RNA (155 nucleotides) under uncultured eukaryote. Its description in RNAcentral is "partial 18S ribosomal RNA". It matches the Rfam family "Eukaryotic small subunit ribosomal RNA", at positions 1299 to 1458 of the family's 1831-position model. The record is from RNAcentral.
UGGUGGAGUGAUUUGUCUGCUUAAUUGCGAUAACGAACGAGACCUUAACCUGCUAACUAGCGAUGCGUGUGCCCGUCAUUGUGCGGCACAGGCAGCCCGCUUCUUAGAGGGACUGUCGGCGCUCCUCAAGCCGACGGAAGUUUGAGGCAAUAACA